UGUUAAAAAGCUCGUAGUUGGAUCAAGAGUUCGACAGUGCAAGGUGGCCCCGCUUGUUACGAUGGCUCCGGUCACCGUAACGGCGGCGGAUCAACCCCUUGCGCCAAACUGUCGUCUCUAACAGACCGAAACGGUUCCCUGUGAGUAGGUUCCUUCAUUGGGACUGAAAGCGCCUACGCAUCAACCAUAUGCUUACGGGACGUCGGUCAAAGUUACUGUGAACAAACCAGCGUGUCCAAAACAGGCUUUCGCCUGAAUGUUCGAGCAUGGAAUAACAAGGGAUCGAUUCUCUCGGUUCUUUUUGUUGGUUUUUAACCCGAGAAGGAGUAAUUCAGGCCACGGUGUCUGGGCUGGGUUCCCCUAGUCUCCGGAUUAGGCCCCAGUUAGGCCGUGUCCUUACGGGAUCAAUAGGGACUGACGGGGUCGUACGUACUUCCACGUCAGAGGUGAAAUUCUUAGAUCGUGGGAAGACGAACUUCUGCGAAAGCAUUCGACAAGAAUGUCUUCAUUAAUCAAGGACGAGAGUGUGGGGAUCGAAGAUGAUCAGAUACCGUCGUAGUCCACUACUGUAAUCA
Molecule: ribosomal RNA, 575 nt
Filed under: uncultured marine eukaryote
Lineage: Eukaryota
Description: bacterial SSU rRNA
Rfam family: Eukaryotic small subunit ribosomal RNA
Source: RNAcentral